AUUGAACGCUGGCGGCAGGCCUAACACAUGCAAGUCGAGCGGUAGAGAGGUGCUUGCAUCUCUUGAGAGCGGCGGACGGGUGAGUAAUGCCUAGGAAUCUGCCUAGUGGUGGGGGAUAACGUUCGGAAACGGACGCUAAUACCGCAUACGUCCUACGGGAGAAAGCGGGGGAUCUUCGGACCUCGCGCCAUUAGAUGAGCCUAGGUCGGAUUAGCUAGUUGGUGGAGGUAAUGGCUCACCAAGGCGACGAUCCGUAACGUGGUCUGAGAGGAUCGAUCGAGUCACACUGGAGCUGAGACACGGUCCAGACUCCGUACGGGAGGCAGCAGGUGGGGAAUAUUGGACAAUGGGACGAAG
This 357-nucleotide ribosomal RNA is filed under the name uncultured bacterium. Its description in RNAcentral is "bacterial SSU rRNA". It matches the Rfam family "Bacterial small subunit ribosomal RNA", at positions 30 to 381 of the family's 1533-position model. The record is from RNAcentral.